CUAGUAUAGCAAUCUAUACCGUGAAACUGCGAAUGGCUCAUUAAAUCAGUUAUCGUUUAUUUGAUAGUACCUUACUACUUGGAUAACCGUGGUAAUUCUAGAGCUAAUACAUGCUAAAAACCUCGACUUCGGAAGGGGUGUAUUUAUUAGAUAAAAAACCAAUGCCCUUCGGGGCUCUCUGGUGAUUCAUAAUAACUUAACGAAUCGCAUGGCCUUGUGCCGGCGAUGGUUCAUUCAAAUUUCUGCCCUAUCAACUUUCGAUUGUAUGGUCUUGGCUUACAAUGGUUUCAACGGGUAACGGGGAAUUAGGGUUCUAUUCCGGAGAGGGAGCCUGAGAAACGGCUACCACAUCCAAGGAAGGCAGCAGGCGCGCAAAUUACCCAAUCCCGACACGGGGAGGUAGUGACAAUAAAUACUGAUACAGGGCUCUUUUGGGUCUUGUAAUUGGAAUGAGUACAAUUUAAAUCCCUUAACGAGGAACAAUUGGAGGGCAAGUCUGGUGCCAGCAGCCGCGGUAAUUCCAGCUCCAAUAGCGUAUAUUAAAGUUGUUGCAGUUAAAAAGCUCGUAGUUGAACCUUGGGCCUGGCUGGCCGGUCCGCCUCACCGCGUGCACUGGUCCGGCCGGGCCUUUCCUCCUGGGGAGCCGCAUGCCCUUCACUGGGUGUGCCGGGGAACCAGGACUUUUACUUUGAAAAAAUUAGAGUGUUCAAAGCAGGCCUAUGCUCGAAUACAUUAGCAUGGAAUAAUAGAAUAGGACGUGUGGUUCUAUUUUGUUGGUUUCUAGGACCGCCGUAAUGAUUAAUAGGGAUAGUCGGGGGCAUCAGUAUUCAAUUGUCAGAGGUGAAAUUCUUGGAUUUAUUGAAGACUAACUACUGCGAAAGCAUUUGCCAAGGAUGUUUUCAUUAAUCAGUGAACGAAAGUUAGGGGAUCGAAGACGAUCAGAUACCGUCGUAGUCUUAACCAUAAACUAUGCCGACUA
This 979-nucleotide ribosomal RNA is filed under the name Oidiodendron sp. RNAcentral's name for it is "SSU rRNA". It matches the Rfam family "Eukaryotic small subunit ribosomal RNA", at positions 60 to 1048 of the family's 1831-position model. The record is from RNAcentral. Lineage: Eukaryota; Fungi; Ascomycota; Leotiomycetes; Myxotrichaceae.